UCCUUGGUCAUUUAGAGGAAGUAAAAGUCGUAACAAGGUUUCCGUAGGUGAACCUGCGGAAGGAUCAUUAUCGAAUUGUAAGGACUUGGCUGUCGCUGGCUCUCUCUGGGAGCAUGUGCACGCCGGUUCAAACUCUUCAACCUUCAACCUCCUGUGCACCUUUUGUGGACUGUGGAUGGAUAACUGUCGAGGUAACACUCGGUUGUGUGGACUGCGCCUCACACGCGCUUUCUGCUGCAUCCAUCUGCGGUUCAUGUCUCACUACACACUAUUCAUUAAACUUAGAAUGUUCAACGGUUGGGACUAGUUCCCUCCUUAAAUAUAUACAACUUUCAACAACGGAUCUCUUGGCUCUCGCAUCGAUGAAGAACGCAGCGAAAUGCGAUAAGUAAUGUGAAUUGCAGAUUUCAGUGAAUCAUCGAAUCUUUGAACGCACCUUGCGCCCUGUGGUAUUCCGCAGGGCAUGCCCGUUUGAGUGUCAUUAAAUCAUCAACUCUAAACACCUUGUGUGUCUAGUGCUUGGUCUUGAGGGUCUUGCAGGCGCUUCGACGUCUGCUCCCUUUAAAUCCAUUAGCGAGACUUCCCUUUGCUGACCGUCUCUUGGCGUGAUAGUUAUCUGCGUCAACCCGACCGGUUCUCGUUGGGCUUGCUUCUAAUCGUCUUCGGACAGUCGAUUUGGGUGCAUAUAUGCGCUCCAUCUCAAACCUUUUUGACCUCAAAUCGGGUAGGACUACCCGCUGAACUUAAGCAUAUCAAUAAGCGGAGGAAA
Molecule: ribosomal RNA, 769 nt
Filed under: Corticiaceae sp. SYN 925
Lineage: Eukaryota; Fungi; Basidiomycota; Agaricomycetes; Corticiales; Corticiaceae
Description: eukaryotic LSU rRNA
Rfam family: 5.8S ribosomal RNA (bases 328-481)
Source: RNAcentral